This 451-nucleotide ribosomal RNA is filed under the name uncultured bacterium. RNAcentral describes it as "partial 16S ribosomal RNA". It matches the Rfam family "Bacterial small subunit ribosomal RNA", at positions 29 to 523 of the family's 1533-position model. The record is from RNAcentral.
AGCGAACGCUGGCGGCAGGCUUAACACAUGCAAGUCGAGCGGGCAUAGCAAUAUGUCAGCGGCAGACGGGUGAGUAACGCGUGGGAACGUACCUUUUGGUUCGGAACAACUGAGGGAAACUUCAGCUAAUACCGGAUAAGCCCCUACGGGGAAAGAUUUAUCGCCGAAAGAUCGGCCCGCGUCUGAUUAGCUAGUUGGUGAGGUAAUGGCUCACCAAGGCGACGAUCAGUAGCUGGUCUGAGAGGAUGAUCAGCCACAUUGGGACUGAGACACGGCCCAAACUCCUACGGGAGGCAGCAGUGGGGAAUAUUGGACAAUGGGCGCAAGCCUGAUCCAGCCAUGCCGCGUGAGUGAUGAAGGCCCUAGGGUUGUAAAGCUCUUUUGUGCGGGAAGAUAAUGACGGUACCGCAAGAGUAAGCCCCGGCUAACUUCGUGCCAGCCGCCGCGGUAA